UAUACUGUGUUUUUUUUUUUUUUUGAAGGGGGAAGUAAACCGGUCGCCCAAAGGGGGAUCCGGCCGGCGUUCGCCAGGUAGGACGUCCGCCGUUAUGGCCCAUGGGCCACCAUGGAGUCUGCGGUGGCAGCUCGCGGCGAGGUCACCAGCUAUGGGCCACCAGCUCGGCUUCGCGUCUCUGAGCAUCCUCCCCACUCGUGCGUAAGGCCGAUGAGGGGAGCUCGCCGCCGUUUGGCCGGAAGCUCCACAGUUCACACCGGCGACAAAGCAAGGACUGUGAACAACAAGGAUUCAGGGUUCAGUUGCUGCAAAAGCCAAUAUUCAGGAAUUCAGCACCUGAGUUUCAUUUAAUCCAAUAGACGAAAUUGCAAGAUUUGGAGAUCAAGCAUUGGCGUUGCAUUACAUCAUCUUGGUUGGAACUUGAGCUAGGAAAUUGCUUGGCUCACGGCUCGAUGGUGUUUGGUUCAAGAUGUGCUUCCUUCCUCGAUAACAGUUGAUCCUCAAGCUC
This is a long non-coding RNA of Sorghum bicolor (sorghum), 508 nucleotides long. RefSeq lists it as uncharacterized. The record is from RefSeq and is a predicted model, not a curated record. The transcript has 3 exons. NCBI's taxonomy places the organism in Eukaryota, Viridiplantae, Streptophyta, Magnoliopsida, Poales, Poaceae.